GGAUAUCCGGCCUGUUUCGGUGAACGGACACACUGGAACUGAGACACGGUCCAGACUCCUACGGGAGGCAGCAGUAGGGAAUAUUGCUCAAUGGGGGAAACCCUGAAGCAGCAACGCCGCGUGGAGGAUGAAGGUUUUAGGAUUGUAAACUCCUUUUGUUAGAGAAGAUAAUGACGGUAUCUAACGAAUAAGCACCGGCUAACUCCGUGCCAGCAGCCGCGGUAAUACGGAGGGUGCAAGCGUUACUCGGAAUCACUGGGCGUAAAGAGUGCGUAGGCGGGAUAGUCAGUCAGGUGUGAAAUCCUAUGGCUUAACCAUAGAACUGCAUUUGAAACUACUAUUCUAGAGUGUGGGAGAGGUAGGUGGAAUUCUUGGUGUAGGGGUAAAAUCCGUAGAGAUCAAGAGGGAAUACUCAUUGCGAAGCGACUGCUGGAACAUUACUGACGCUGAUUGCCCCGAAAGCGUGGGGGAGCAAACAGGAUUAGAU
This 487-nucleotide ribosomal RNA is filed under the name Helicobacter pylori. RNAcentral's name for it is "bacterial SSU rRNA". It matches the Rfam family "Bacterial small subunit ribosomal RNA", at positions 281 to 783 of the family's 1533-position model. The record is from RNAcentral. Lineage: Bacteria; Pseudomonadati; Campylobacterota; Epsilonproteobacteria; Campylobacterales; Helicobacteraceae.